This is a small nuclear RNA of Dipodomys ordii (Ord's kangaroo rat), 120 nucleotides long. Its record names the gene U12. It matches the Rfam family "U12 minor spliceosomal RNA". From Rfam's summary of the family: Although the U12 sequence is very divergent from that of U2, the two are functionally analogous. Lineage: Eukaryota; Metazoa; Chordata; Mammalia; Rodentia; Heteromyidae. The record is from Ensembl.
AUGCCUUAAAUGUAUGAGUAAGGAAAAUAAUGACUCAGGGUGAUGCCCAAAUUCUCACUAAUGUGAGAUGAAUUUUUGAACCAGUAAAGGACAUUCCUAAGGUGAAUAGCCAACUACUUU